Molecule: ribosomal RNA, 492 nt
Filed under: uncultured bacterium
Lineage: Bacteria
Description: partial 16S ribosomal RNA
Rfam family: Bacterial small subunit ribosomal RNA
Source: RNAcentral
AUUGAACGCUGGCGGCAUGCUUUACACAUGCAAGUCGAACGGUAACAGGCCUUCCGUUGCUGACGAGUGGCGAACGGGUGAGUAAUGCAUCGGAACGUGCCCAGAGGCUGGGGGUAACGCAGCGAAAGCUGUGCUAAUACCUCAUGUGAUCUGAGGAUGAAAGCGGCGGACCACGCUGCAAUGUUUGGCCUCGCCCCUCUGGAGCAGCCGAUGUCAGAUUAGGUAGUUGGUUGGGUAAAGUCCUACCAAGCCGACGAUCUGUAGCUGGUCUGAGAGGACGAGCGGCCACACUGGAACUGAGACACGGCCCAGACUCCUACGGGAGGCAGCAGUGGGGAAUUUUGGACAAUGGGCGAAAGCCUGAUCCAGCAAUGCCGCGUGCGGGAAGAAGGCCUUCGGGUUGUAAACCGCUUUUGUACGGAACGAAAAGGCUCUGGAUAAUACCUGGGGCUGAUGACGGUACCGUAAGAAUAAGCACCGGCUAACUACGUG